Molecule: non-coding RNA, 83 nt
Organism: Gloeopeniophorella convolvens
Lineage: Eukaryota; Fungi; Basidiomycota; Agaricomycetes; Russulales
Source: the annotation of a GenBank genome assembly
GUCCCUGUCGAUUAGUGGUUAAAUCAUGACGUUGUGGUUUACACAGUACCGUCAAGCCGCCGGCUCGACUCCGGCCAGGGACA